CAAACAUCCUUCAUAUCCUAGUAUUACACCAAGUAGGUGGAUCCAACACACAUCUUUCAUAUCCCAGUAUUACACCAAGUAGGUGGAUCCAACACACAUCCUUCAUAUCCUAGUAUUACAUCAAGCAGGUGUAUCCAACAAACAAAACUCCCAGUAUUACACCAAACAGGUAGAUCCAACAAACAAAACUCCCAGUAUUACACCAAGUAGGUGGAUCCAACACACAUCCUUCAUAUCCCAGUAUUACAUCAAGCAGGUGUAUCCAACAAACAAAACUCCCAGUAUUACACCAAACAGGUAGAUCCAACAAACAAAACUCAGUGUUACACCAAGCAGGUGGAUCCACACGUCCUUUAUCUCCCAGCAACACGUCAAACAGUUGAAACUAUACAUCUACAUAUUUUCUAUGUAUAUACAUCUUUAGAGUAUACAAACACUGCUGUCAAAUACUUGUAAGUAUUUCUGAAACAUUUAACAAAAUCUAAAGCACUAGUACGUCCUUCUGUCCACAGUACGUCUUCUCAAUUGUAAAGAAAUAACUUUUUACACAAAAUAUUAUAAUACAUGCAUAUCUAAUAAAGCAGUGUUUUAAUGAACUACAUUAAACAGUUGGUUAACAUCUGAUUAGGUUAAUAAUGGCUGGAGACGGCUUAAAUGGGUAUUGAAG
Limulus polyphemus (Atlantic horseshoe crab) is the source of this 667-nucleotide long non-coding RNA. RefSeq lists it as uncharacterized. NCBI's taxonomy places the organism in Eukaryota, Metazoa, Arthropoda, Merostomata, Xiphosura, Limulidae. The record is from RefSeq and is a predicted model, not a curated record. The transcript has 2 exons.